CGCGUAGGUGGUCCUUCAAGUCAGAUGUUAAAUUUCUCGGCUUAACUGGGAAUGGUCAUCUGAUACUGCUGGACUUGAGGGUGGUAGAGGGAGGUGGAAUUCCCGGCGUAGUGGUGAAAUGCGUAGAUAUCGGGAGGAACACCAGUGGCGAAGGCGGCCUCCUAGGCCAUUCCUGACACUGAGGCGCGAAAGCGUGGGGAGCGAACAGGAUCAGAUACCCUGGUAGUCCACGCCCUAAACUGUGGAAACUAGGUACAGGGAGUAUCGACCCUUCCUGCGCCGUAGCUAACGCGUUAAGUUUCCCGCCUGGGGACUACGGUCGCAAGACUAAA
RNAcentral lists this ribosomal RNA (332 nucleotides) under uncultured bacterium. RNAcentral's name for it is "bacterial SSU rRNA". It matches the Rfam family "Bacterial small subunit ribosomal RNA", at positions 568 to 898 of the family's 1533-position model. The record is from RNAcentral.